This 446-nucleotide ribosomal RNA is filed under the name uncultured bacterium. RNAcentral's name for it is "partial 16S ribosomal RNA". It matches the Rfam family "Bacterial small subunit ribosomal RNA", at positions 338 to 795 of the family's 1533-position model. The record is from RNAcentral.
CCUACGGGUGGCAGCAGUCGAGAAUCAUUCACAAUGGGGGAAACCCUGAUGGUGCGACGCCGCGUGGGGGAAUGAAGUUCUUCGGAUUGUAAACCCCUGUCAUGUGGGAGCAAAUUAAAAAGAUAGUACCACAAGAGGAAGAGACGGCUAACUCUGUGCCAGCAGCCGCGGUAAUACAGAGGUCUCAAGCGUUGUUCGGAAUCACUGGGCGUAAAGCGUGCGUAGGCUGUUUCGUAAGUCGUGUGUGAAAGGCGCGGGCUCAACCCGCGGACGGCACAUGAUACUGCGAGACUAGAGUAAGGGAGGGGGAACCGGAAUGCUCGGUGUAGCAGUGAAAUGCGUAGAUAUCGAGAGGAACACUCGUGGCGAAGGCGGGUUCCUGGACAUUAACUGACGCUGAGGCACGAAGGCCAGGGGAGCGAAAGGGAUUAGAUACCCUAGUAGUC